GGGAAAGUGGAGUACUUGGUCAUAGGAACUUGAACAAUGUUCCUCCUAGCAUCAAUAGCAGAUUUCUGAACAGCAGCAACAACUUCUUUAGCCUUAGCACAACCAACACCAACAUUGCCUUGUUUAUCACCAACAACAACAAUAGCUCUAAACUUCAACUGCUUCCCACCUUUAACAACCUUAGUAACUCUCCUAACCUGAACAACUCUCUCUUCAAACCCAUCUCUUAUCUUAUCCUUUUUGGGCUUCCCACCAAUACCUGAACUCUUCUUAAACUUUGAAUCCAUCACAUAAAUGUCCUUACCAAGCAUGCUCUCACCACUAUACGCAGGACCGUAGAGCUCUUCGAACGCCGUCGCGAUCUCUUCCUCAGUCUCGUCGCUUCCUUCGUCGAAGUAAGGAGGAUCGACGAAGCCUUCGGGAGCAAUUGGUGGGUCGAAUACGACAUUAGCUGUUAUCUCAGGUGUCUGAUCCUCGAAGAAGAAAGUUUCGUUUUGCUCGUUGGAGGCUUUGACGAGAGUGAGAGAUGAUGAGACGCCGCGGCGGUUGAGGAAUGAGGAGGAGAAGGAGACGAUGGGUUUUGUUGUUGAGGAAGAGAUGAGAGAUGAGGUUCCGCUGUGGAGGGAGAGAGAAGUGAGUGAAGAGAGAGCUGAUGCUGUCGCCAUUGAAAUAUGGAGAGGUUUUUUUUGGAUGAGGGAAAGGGAAGCGAGAGUGGAGCAGAGGCUUAUCCA
Molecule: non-coding RNA, 731 nt
Organism: Camelina sativa (false flax)
Lineage: Eukaryota; Viridiplantae; Streptophyta; Magnoliopsida; Brassicales; Brassicaceae
Source: RefSeq, a predicted model, not a curated record